GGAUGCCGGGCCAUGAUAGAUGCCAGGAAGUCAACUUAAGGCAGCUGUAUCAGUAUGAUUUGGCCUGAAGAAGAGUGAUCAUUCCUGUAGGCAAAAAUGUCCUGGUUUAAAAGUAGACAGAGAAGGAAAUGGAAAACCAUCCCAGGAGGUUCGCCAAGAAAACACCAAAUGGGGUCACACAAAUCAGAUAUGUCUGAAACAACAAAACAACAAUAACAUAUUGUAAGAAAUUUUGGGGACCUUGCUUCUUUUCUCUUAUUAAACAAUGUUUUAUUCUAGUUUAAGCUGGAUAAAUUUGUUUCACACUAUAUU
Molecule: long non-coding RNA, 312 nt
Filed under: Monodelphis domestica (gray short-tailed opossum)
Lineage: Eukaryota; Metazoa; Chordata; Mammalia; Didelphimorphia; Didelphidae
Description: lncRNA (ENSMODG00000047766.1)
Source: RNAcentral